AUCUGCAGCCAUGCCACCCUGAAUAAGCCCAAUGUCUGAUCUUGGAAGCUAAGUAGGGUCGGGCCUAGUUAGUACUUGGAUGGGAGACCACCUAGGAAGACCAGGUGCUAUAGGCA
RNAcentral lists this ribosomal RNA (116 nucleotides) under Pteropus alecto (black flying fox). Lineage: Eukaryota; Metazoa; Chordata; Mammalia; Chiroptera; Pteropodidae. The record is from RNAcentral.